This 496-nucleotide ribosomal RNA is filed under the name uncultured bacterium. RNAcentral's name for it is "partial 16S ribosomal RNA". It matches the Rfam family "Bacterial small subunit ribosomal RNA", at positions 28 to 506 of the family's 1533-position model. The record is from RNAcentral.
GAUGAACGCUGGCGGCGUGCCUAAUACAUGCAAGUCGAGCGAACAGACGAGGAGCUUGCUCCUCUGACGUUAGCGGCGGACGGGUGAGUAACACGUGGAUAACCUACCUAUAAGACUGGGAUAACUUCGGGAAACCGGAGCUAAUACCGGAUAAUAUAUUGAACCGCAUGGUUCAAUAGUGAAAGACGGUUUUGCUGUCACUUAUAGAUGGAUCCGCGCCGCAUUAGCUAGUUGGUAAGGUAACGGCUUACCAAGGCAACGAUGCGUAGCCGACCUCAGAGGGUGAUCGGCCACACUGGAACUGAGACACGGUCCAGACUCCUACGGGAGGCAGCAGUAGGGAAUCUGCCGCAAUGGGCGAAAGCCUGACGGAGCAACGCCGCGUGAGUGAUGAAGGUCUUCGGAUCGUAAAACUCUGUUAUUAGGGAAGAACAAAUGUGUAAGUAACUAUGCACGUCUUGACGGUACCUAAUCAGAAAGCCACGGCGAACUACGU